Molecule: non-coding RNA, 78 nt
Organism: Brevibacillus choshinensis
Lineage: Bacteria; Bacillati; Bacillota; Bacilli; Caryophanales; Paenibacillaceae
Source: Rfam
UACAUACUGUAACCGCACGAAUCAGGUACAAAAGUCGUCGCUCGCGGCGCACCUGUAAAGGCGAGUCUGAGUAUAGGA